RNAcentral lists this unclassified non-coding RNA (344 nucleotides) under soil metagenome. Its description in RNAcentral is "partial contains 5.8S ribosomal RNA, internal transcribed spacer 2, and large subunit ribosomal RNA". The stretch from base 1 to 119 matches the Rfam family "5.8S ribosomal RNA", at positions 35 to 154 of the family's 154-position model. The record is from RNAcentral.
GAUGAAGAACGUAGCGAAAUGCGAUACGUAAUGUGAAUUGCAGAAUUCAGUGAAUCAUCGAGUCUUUGAACGCACAUUGCCCCCCUGGUAUUCCGGGGGGCAUGCCUGUCCGAGCGUCAUUGCUGCCCUCAAGCACGGCUUGUGUGUUGGGCCUCCGUCCUCCUCCCGGGGGACGGGCCCGAAAGGCAGCGGCGGCACCGCGUCCGGUCCUCGAGCGUAUGGGGCUUCGUCACCCGCUCUUGUAGGCCCGGCCGGCGCUUGCCGACACAUCAAUCUUUUUUCCAGGUUGACCUCGGAUCAGGUAGGGAUACCCGCUGAACUUAAGCAUAUCAAUAAGCGGAGGA